CAAUAAGCGGAGGAAAAGAAACCAACAGGGAUUGCCUCAGUAACGGCGAGUGAAGCGGCAACAGCUCAAAUUUGAAAUCUGGCCCCCCCCCGGGGGGGCCCGAGUUGUACUUUGGAGAGGAUGCUUUGGGCGCGGCGCCUUCCGAGUUCCUUGGAACAGGACGCCAGAGAGGGUGAGAGCCCCGUACGGUUGGACGCCUAGCCCGUGCAAAGCUCCUUCGACGAGUCGAGUAGUUUGGGAAUGCUGCUCAAAAUGGGAGGUAAAUUUCUUCUAAAGCUAAAUACCGGCCAGAGACCGAUAGCGCACAAGUAGAGUGAUCGAAAGAUGAAAAGCACUUUGAAAAGAGGGUUAAACAGCACGUGAAAUUGUUGAAAGGGAAGCGCCUGUGGCCAGACGUGCGCCCCGCGGACCACCCGCCGCCUCGCGCGGCGGGGCACGCCGCGGCGGCGCAGGCCAGCAUCGGCUCUCCCAGGGGGACAAAGGUCGCGGGAACGUAGCUCCUCCGGGAGUGUUAUAGCCCGCGGCGUCAUGCCCUUGGGGGGGCCGAGG
RNAcentral lists this ribosomal RNA (549 nucleotides) under Raffaelea santoroi. RNAcentral's name for it is "partial large subunit ribosomal RNA". It matches the Rfam family "Eukaryotic large subunit ribosomal RNA", at positions 44 to 591 of the family's 3401-position model. The record is from RNAcentral. Lineage: Eukaryota; Fungi; Ascomycota; Sordariomycetes; Ophiostomatales; Ophiostomataceae.